UCUCAUAGCUCAGUUGGUAAAUCAUCUGCCUGCAAUGCAGGAGACCUGGGUUCAGUUCCUAGGUUGAGAA
Molecule: transfer RNA, 70 nt
Filed under: Bos taurus (domestic cattle)
Lineage: Eukaryota; Metazoa; Chordata; Mammalia; Artiodactyla; Bovidae
Also listed under: 5 other names
Rfam family: tRNA
About the family: Transfer RNA (tRNA) molecules are approximately 80 nucleotides in length. Their secondary structure includes four short double-helical elements and three loops (D, anti-codon, and T loops).
Source: Rfam by way of RNAcentral